UGUUAUUGAUGCUACAAUGUUCAAUCCUUGUGGGUAUUCAAUGAAUGGGAUGAAAUCGGAUGGAACUUACUGGACUAUUCACAUCACUCCAGAACCAGAGUUUUCUUAUGUUAGUUUU
Non-coding RNA from Cyanistes caeruleus (blue tit), 118 nucleotides. The record is from RefSeq and is a predicted model, not a curated record. Lineage: Eukaryota; Metazoa; Chordata; Aves; Passeriformes; Paridae.